Molecule: non-coding RNA, 21 nt
Filed under: Arabidopsis thaliana (thale cress)
Lineage: Eukaryota; Viridiplantae; Streptophyta; Magnoliopsida; Brassicales; Brassicaceae
Also listed under: 2 other names
Source: RNAcentral
CAGGAGUGGAGCCUGCGGCUU